RNAcentral lists this non-coding RNA (31 nucleotides) under Rattus norvegicus (Norway rat). The record is from RNAcentral. Lineage: Eukaryota; Metazoa; Chordata; Mammalia; Rodentia; Muridae.
GCCAGACCAACUUCCAAAUCAUGGUGCACAA